RNAcentral lists this ribosomal RNA (515 nucleotides) under uncultured bacterium. RNAcentral describes it as "bacterial SSU rRNA". It matches the Rfam family "Bacterial small subunit ribosomal RNA", at positions 9 to 517 of the family's 1533-position model. The record is from RNAcentral.
GAGUUUGAUCGUGGCUCAGAUUGAACGCUGGCGGCAGGCCUAACACAUGCAAGUCGAGCGGUAGAGAGAAGCUUGCUUCUCUUGAGAGCGGCGGACGGGUGAGUAAUGCCUAGGAAUCUGCCUGGUAGUGGGGGGAUAACGCUCGGAAACGGACGCUAAUACCGCAUACGUCCUACGGGAGAAAGCAGGGGACCUUCGGGCCUUGCGCUAUCAGAUGAGCCUAGGUCGGAUUAGCUAGUUGGUGAGGUAAUGGCUCACCAAGGCGACGAUCCGUAACUGGUCUGAGAGGAUGAUCAGUCACACUGGAACUGAGACACGGUCCAGACUCCUACGGGAGGCAGCAGUGGGGAAUAUUGGACAAUGGGCGAAAGCCUGAUCCAGCCAUGCCGCGUGUGUGGAGAAGGUCUUCGGAUUGUAAAGCACUUUAAGUUGGGAGGAAGGGCAGUAAAUUAAUACUUUGCUGUUUUGACGUUACCGACUAGAAUAAGCACCGGCUAACUCUGUGCCAGCCGCCG